GGGCAGAGCUGUUUCAGUGGGGAGGCAGGGAAGGAUGCUAGAUUAAGCAAAGAGUAAAUGUGUCCUGAAGCUGUGGAAUCAGUGAGUGUGAAGAGGUGUUUUGAGAAGCUUGAUAGAUUGAGGAGUGAAGGAAAAUGGCCCUCAUUUCUCUUUAAUUAUAGGGAAGAUCUGAAAAUGUUGCUAAACAAUGGAAAAGGGUUCAUUAAACAGGGAGACUUCAACUGUGUAAAAGAGAUGGGGCCACUGAGGGGUAAAGAAUGUCAAGAAGAGACAGAUGGGAGAAGGACAAAGAGUAGCUGAGAGGUUGAGCUUUGGAGCUGGACAUACUAAGAUCUGAAUCCCAGCUCUACCUUUUUCUAGCUGUGCAUCCUUGGGCAAAUUGCUUAACCUUUCUGGGCCAUUGCCUAGACUUUAAAAUGGGGUUAAUAAUGCUUGCCUCACAGAGUUGUUCUAAGAGCCAAAUAAAUAGAAUGCUAUGGAAUGUUCUCUCAUGCCUGACUCCUUGUGAUCCCAUGAACUGCAGGCUGCCAGGCUCCUCUGUCCAUGGAAUUUUUCCAGGGGAUCUUCCCAACCCAGGGAUUGAACUUGCAUUUCCUGAGUCUCCUGCAUUGGCACGUGGAUUCCUUACCACUGCGCCACCUGGGAAGCAAGAACAUGAUGAGCCCAGGAUAAAAUAGCGGCUCCUACUGGGGCAAGACAAUAGAGGGGGUCCUGCUGCUGAGAGCUAACCCCAAAGCACUUGGGUGCAGAAGAUGCCUGGCUUCAGCUUUGCCUCCAGAUCUGCAGUUUACAGGGACCUAUUAAGAAGAACAGCUUCGGUUUUCUCUUUCUUGUCCUUUUAUUUUUUUCUCCGAACCAAAGGUCAGUUGCCUUUGUCUUCUGCUUCUGAGCAUUCCAGGAGAGACUCCUGUACUCCUUUCAAGAGAAAAGAAGUAACAGACAAGACAAAGCGAGGCACAUUCAGAAGUUGCAUUCUGUCUUUAAAAGCAGAAGGUACUAGAGAUGGAAAUUAUAUUUUAAGACAAAAAGUAUAUCAUGAGUUUCUGCUGGUAUCUCUAGCUCAAAUAAGGGCUGCAGGUUUUUCUCAUAAAUCAUAAACAUCACAUUUGUAUCUCCUUUCUGAUAUGCCAAAAAUCCAAGUUUAGUGACACCAACAUAAUUACUCAUUUUCUCUAUCCCACUAUAUACAUGUUUCAGAACACGCAUACUUACACUACCGCCUAUAAUAUGAU
Long non-coding RNA from Bos taurus (domestic cattle), 1232 nucleotides. Lineage: Eukaryota; Metazoa; Chordata; Mammalia; Artiodactyla; Bovidae. The record is from Ensembl.